Molecule: non-coding RNA, 2867 nt
Organism: Rattus norvegicus (Norway rat)
Lineage: Eukaryota; Metazoa; Chordata; Mammalia; Rodentia; Muridae
Source: RefSeq, a predicted model, not a curated record
UCACUGUAGGGGACUGGCUGUUUGGUCACAUUGCUGACAUCUUGGGGUCACAAUACUGACUGGGUCUCUUCACUCCUUACCAUUGCUCACACUGCCAGUUCAGGAAAUGCUUGAAUUCAAAAUUUAAAAUUUGAGGCGGGUUUCCACCAGAUGCUUAUAUAUUCACAACAAUAUAAAGUUGAAAAUUCCGAGUUGAACCUCCCUAAGACAUUGUCCACACUCAUUACCAAUGGCAUUUGUAGUCGUCUCCUGAGGACUGGCUGACUCUGGCCUGCCUAGAGUCACACAGGGGACCUAUCAGCAUCCUAAGAAGCCGUGGAUCCUGAGCCCUCCAUGACAAUUAUGCUUGACUUGUAUGCUUGCUUGUUUGUAAGAGGCCCAAAGCGAGUUCUGUGAUGUCAUGCUUAGAGAUACCAUGGGGCAGAUCUCAAAGUAAAUCAAUGGAACUUUGCUGAACCUCCCCAAGAGAGGAAUCGGAAGAACCAGCCCAGGCUUAGGAUGCAGAGUAGCUACCGCUCUUUCUUUCCUUUAGUCCUACAGGGACCACGGAAAGAAGAAUGGAAUGUUGGGAAUUAAUUUGCUCUCCAGCCUGCAGGUUGUCACUCCUGUUUGUUUUGAAUCCCUCCAGCAGGUGCGGGGUAAAUCAGGCAGGAUCUGAAUUCAGGGCAGUGAACAGCAGUCAAUAAGCCCAACUUCUUCAUGGGGUGAGAAAAUGGCCAACCUUCCAAUGAACAUGGGCUGCAUUGGGACUAAGACAACAGGGAGGGCCUUGGCUUCCCAGCAAAUGGCUUCCUUUACACACCCUGAGAAAAGGAGCCUGGACUAGUUUCCUGGAUCCCCAGUCCCAAACCACUGCCUACUGUACUUAGCACUUGCCCAGGCCUCCUGAGGGCAAGGCAGGGCACACCACAGAUGCCUCUCCAAAGGGAAUCAGCACUCUCCAUUGCUGACCACAGCAAGCUGUGGGGCAGUGCCACAGACAACAGCACAUUGCAGCUCACUCAUAAAACAGAUUUUUGACUGCUGACAAAAAGCAGAGUGGAGCCCAGUCAGGCAAAAGGGGGACUGUGAAUGUUCAUUAUUACCAACGACUAAAACACAAAUAGAUGAGUAUAGGGUGUACUGUGAUCCCACUGCAGGACUCUUAGAUGACUCAAAGAAACUAUGUCAAAACAGCUGUGGGCUGGGGGUGUGGCUUGGUUGGUAGAGUGCAUGACUUAAGCCAAGUUCAACACCCAGAACCACAUAAAGCUCAUAAAGCUGGGUAUAAUAGUGCAUGAAGGCCAACAGUCUAGAGAGAGAGGCAGGAGGAUCAGGAAUUCAGAUUCAUUUGCCUCAGCUACACAAUGAGUUCAAGGCCUGUCUCAAAAGAGCCUACACCGAUAUGUAAUACCAGUCAUUAUGUAUAAACAGUUUGCUUUCUUGAAUCCCACUGGUUGUUUUGAUUGAGUGGAGUCAAUCAACAGCAGCCAUGGAGGUAAAGCUGGAAGAGUUCUUGGCAAGACUUAGGGCAAGCACACUCCCAUUUAAGGGAGGAAGGUGGCCUUUCUGAUGUCCCAGGGCUGCAGUAGCCAAGAGGCAUGAGAAUACAAAGGACUGGACCAGGUUUCUUGCUUUCUCUCUGGGGACCUAAGAACAGGGCAGGUCAUCCAAAUACUACCUGUUAUGGUUUGUAUAAGCUUGGCCUAGGGAGUGGAAUGAUUAGAAGGUGUGGCUCUGUUGGAGUAGGUGUGGUCCAGUUGGGGUAGGUGUGGCCUUGUUGGAGCAGGUGUGUCACUGUGGGUGUGGGCUUUAAGACCCUCAUCCUAGCUCCCUGGAAACCAGUAUUCUGCUAGCAGCCUUCAGAUGAAGAUGUAGAACUCUCAGCUCCUCCUGCACCAUGCCUGCCUGGGUGCUGCCGUGUUCCCACCUUCAUGAUAAUGGACUGAACCUCUGAACCUGUAAGUCAGCCCCAAUUAAAUGUUGUUCCUUAUAAAACUUGCCUAGGUCAUAGUGUCUGUUCACAGCAGUAAAACCCUAACUAAGACACUACCCAAAUACUGUGCCCAUGCCCAUGCCCAUGCCCAGGACUGCCUGUUAGCUCAGAGGUCCUUUACUCUGGGAAUGUCUUGCUUUGAGGUCAUAAUAGGAAGCCAGCCUCAGGGGUGAGAGAUCUCCAGCUUUCUUCAUCUGGAAAUCAGGGCACUGGCCUCCCACAGUACACAGACUCCAAGGGAGUGAUUACUGGGGCCAGGGGUGGAUACCCUGUAUCCAGCUCCAGAGGGGCUAGACUAAAUAUACCCGGCUUUUCCCACCACUGUGCUUCCUGAUCCUGCUGAGAGCAAGCCUGGGAGAGGAGAGGCCGGCAUUCUGGAGUCUGGAAGUACUCACUAGUCUAAGACUAACCGUCCAAGAACUCCCCCUCGAAAACCCCAACCAACAGCGUGACUUCAGCUCAAGAACAAACGCAACAUUCUGAAAAACUUUGGAGAAAAUUCAGUGCCCACGGGUUGAAGUAGCUCGUUGUGUCGUAUGCCCACCUGGUCCAGAACAAUAAGCAGUACCAGCUGCUCCCUAAACAUAAGCCAGAAAAGCCCUCAGCUCCUCCUGGACCUGGGAGGAAGAGCCUUCCACAGCCUUCGUCCAGGAGGCUGGUCCUGGCUGCAUUGUCUCUUGGUUUACUCUAACAAAUUUCCUUCUUUCUCCCUCUACUAUCUUUCCACAACCUUCUAUGAGUUUAGUAGGCAAAAUAACACGAUUCUGAAUUUCUUACAAACAUCAUCACCCCCAUCCCCACCCCUGGACAACGUAUGCUGGCCAGCCUGCUGCUCUCCAAUGCCCUGAGUUUAUGGAUCUGAAAGUGUGUUCAAUGAACAUGCCUGGCUUCA